CUUUACGACUAUGCCGGCAGAUGUCGCAACCAACAAGAGACAGAGAGAGCAGCGAUGAGGAUAGAGAUAGAAAAAUACUUGAGGGGGAAUUGAUUAAAAAUUGAAAGCCGACUUUGGCCCUCAUUCUUUCACAGAAAAAGGAACAUAGGAAGCUGCCAUAUACCGAGUCCGACCAUUGGUCCAUCUAGACUCCUCCUCCUUGCUCAGAUCUACCAUAUUUACCAGAAUAGAAGAUGACUCUGAAUUUAAGAUGACCCCUUUAAAAAGUAGAAGUUAAACACAGGUUAUACCUGCAUUUACUCUAAAGGAAUAGGACUCUGAAUUUAAUACGAUCUCCUGAUUUCUAAUAUCAAAGAACCUGGAAAACACUUAGUCUUGGAUUCAGUAUUUUUAUGGAUAGAAAUACCUCUCCUACCACUUGCCAAUCCGAGCUGUCCGGAAAGCUUUUGUGAAUGCCACGAAGGCCAGAACUCUGAUGGAGAGGGACAUGAAAACGGGUUCAAGUUGGACUUCUUCCAAUUUACCUGGAUCUCUAGGUCUUCUAGGAGAUGAAGAACAUACUGUAUCUGAGAACUUAACUCCUUUGAGCUGCAACCAGUCAGGAGCCAAUCGUCUAUGUACAGAAAGGUCAAAAUUCCCUCUGUCCUUAGGUGUGCAUUGAUGGCUGCCAUGCACUUCAUAAAGACCUGUGGCAUGGUGGAUAAUCCGAAUAGAAGCACAUUAUACUGGUACACUGCACUUCCCACCGUGAAUUGUAAGUACUGUCUGUGGUUGCCUUGUAUGCCAGUGAGGAAUAGGCACCCUUCAAAUCCAGCGUUGCAAGCCAUUCCUCCUUGUAAAAGAGUGGUAGGAAACCUUGCAACGUUAUCAUUCAAAACUUCAGUGAAAGGACAUAUUUGUUCAACCAUCUUAAAUCCAUUAUAGGACGUAUCCCCCCGCCCCUCUUGGGAAUUUGGAAAUAACGGAAGUAAAAGCCCUCUUUUUAAGAAAUCCACUGUACAGGGGCAAUUGCCCUCUUUUCCAAAAUAACCUUCACUUCCUCAAGUAAAGUAGGAGUUGCUGGCAUGUACUUUAUCCCUGUGAAGGCAGGCAUUGCCUUGAAUUCUAUUGCAUAACCAGUAGUGACUAUGCAUAGCACCCAGGCAUCUGAUGUUAUGUAAUUAACCUAGAAUUAUAUUUUAGUUAUCCCUGAUCUUUCAUAUUACUCUAGUCACUUUCUGGAUCAGGUUUAUUCCCUGAUUAUUUAAGGUAUUGAGCUCUUUGUGUCUCUUCAGAUGUCAAGUAUGUGAAACAGGGAGAGUAGUAUUUAGCUGGUGACAUUGAGGGGGUCUUGAGAAAAGCCAUCCUCGACAUCAAGACCCUGGCGCAAGAAGACCUUGAAUGUUGACUUUGAUGGGGUGGUUUCUGCUGAAUCCAGAAAAGAAAGGAGAGAGUCGGUCACUGCUCGAUCAGGCCCCUGUACUAAUUCUGUCAGCGCAUCCUCCUCAUUGAUGUCAACAAUCGAUGUCAAAGGAAACGGUUGACCCAAAGGUCAAGAUUGUUUAUCUGUUGACAUUAGAGGUUUCAUUGAUGUUGACCCUGUGAUGAAAGUACUGACUUUGAAAUGAACUGGUUGGUAGAAGCAGGUUCUCUCAUUACCAACAUAGUCACCAACUCCGAUGUCCGCUUCAACAUCGAUUGUUGUCAUCGAUGUAACUUUAUCUGGUGUAAACUUGCAUUGUGAAAAUCAAGUUUUUAGUAUGUGUUCUUGCUUUAAUUAGUACAAGGUAUUCUAGCUUGUGGCUGGAAAGUGCCUGAAGGUAAUCUAGGGUUGGCCCCCUGCCUUUAGCCAUUACUCUACAUCAUCCAAAAUGACAGUAUCCUGAAAUCAGAGAAAAACAGAAGUGGGCUUUCUUGGUAAGGAGAUUUUAGUUAAAACUAUCCAGGGUGCUUAAGGAAAGAAGGAAUUACAGGGAGCAAGCAAGACUUUCAUACAUAUAUCCUGUUCACAGACACACACUAUUUAAAGUUAUAAUUUUCCCUACAACACAGGAGAGGAAUGAUGUACAAUUUAGGCAAGGGGUUGAAGCACAACUGGCAUUAAGGAGCUUUGACUGUACAGCUCUACGUAAUUUAUUGCUAUAGUAAUCAGUGUUGAAGUAUUAAAAUAAAUACAUACUAAAUAUAUACUAAAACAGAUAUAUACUAAAACAAAUAAAUACUAACCCAUAGUUGAUUCCUAUUCUAAGGCCUAAAUGAUAUCAUUAAAACAGGUCCUCCUGACUGGAGUAUUCUGUAUUGAAGGUGCUCUUCUACAGAAUCAAAAUAUGGGAUUCAGGACAGCUGAAAGUCCUUGGUCUGGGGUAGCAGCCAUGAAAUACAUAGUUAAUCCUGGAUGUGAUAUGAGAUUUGCAAGAGACCUCACAUUACAAGUGUGUGCAGACAUUUUUCUGGGUCCCACUACUGUAGGGAAGGGAGGCAGAAAAUAGCAGCAAAUGAUUCAUCAUUUUUAGAGAAGAGUGGUUCUUGGCCCUACAAGAAAUCCUGUAUGCAUGACUUCUUCUCUGCAGAGUUUUAGAUUCACAGCAGAGUUGAAGCACCAGAGGGAACCUUUUCAUUUUGAAGGAGAAUAGGAAUAGGCCUUGGCCACACAAGAUCCUUCUUCCCCCUUCCUGAAUUUCCUUUGGUCAUAGGUGUGCAGUCUUUUGCCCAGUGUCCAGGAUCUAAGAUAAUCUGCUCUUGUCCUUUCCCUAGCCUCACAGCACACACAGCAUCCUUAUUCUACAUUGUAUGAGGCCUUCAGGCGCAAAUAUCAUAUCAUAUAUUAUAUCUUGUAGCCCUUUAUUAAUAUAAUAAAUAACUCUUCCUUUAUUAAUAUAAUAAAGAAAUAUAUAAUAACUAUAAUAAAUAAAGGAAAACACCCUCCAGUUCUGGGGCUGGUUUCACUGAAGUUUGAGGUUAAGUUUAAACAGAUGUUAUCACAGCCCUGGCCCUUGGGUUAAGCUACAGUCCUGCAGAAUCCUGAAGUUUAAAAAAAAAAGUAGAAAAGAGCCACAGCUUCAUGUGUUUAAAAAACCAAUGCCAAGAAAGCAGCACUGGAUAGUCUCUGAGAGGUAGUAUUCUUAUCCUUUGGAGCCAAGCUACUACCCUGACUGUGAUGCCACUUCUGCUAGCCACAGCAUGUCAAGGGAUGCAUGUGCAGCUGGUGGUGGUAUAUGCAACAGCUCAUCUGCCCUUCCUGAAGUACAUACCUGCUAUGGAGAAGAAAAGCUUGUGGAGCUGGGCACCUUAUAUGCUAGCUGCAGAGAGGCACCUACCAUGUCAAGGAUCCCAACCAUCCUCUUUCACAUCAGGGGCUCUUCCCUGAUCCCCCACCAUGUAGUUUCUCACAUUAAUAAUUUUAGGGCUUGUUAUAUGGCAUCUAUCUGUUCCACCUGGUAGUACUGGAACCUCGUUCCAGAAGUACAGAAGAAGUACAAUUGAAACAGCAAUCUUCUGCUGGCACUCCAACGGAAGGGAGACAGUAGCCACUUGCAUGUUGAAUAGAGUGCCCAUACAGUAUGCUGGAGGAGUUGCGAUAGAUGUAGAUGGCUCUUCAGAAGGUUGAUGAUGAAGUCAUGUUCCUCAAGAAUCUGGACUGUCUGCUGGACAUCUCUGAAUGCCUUUUAUUCGAAAGAGGAGUGAAUCAACAGAUCGUCCAGAUACAGGUGGGCAUGAAUGCCCUGGAGGCGGACAUGGGCAAUCACUGUCACCAUCAACUUAGUAAAGACUUGAGGUGCUGAUGAUAGCCCAAAAGGCAGAGUCUUGUACUGGUACUGCUGGUGGUUGUAAGAAAAUCUCAGAAAGCGACAAAAGGAGGGGUGAAUGGGUAUGUGUAGGUAAACUUCCAACAGGCUGAUUGAUGCUAGGAAGACCCUGGGUUGGACUGCAUUCUUGAUCGACCUGAGGGAUUCCAUACGGAAUGACCUUUUCCUCAUGUAGCAGUUGAGCCAUUUUCCGUCUAAUAUCGCUCUCCAGAACCCAUCCUUCUAUGGCACCAGAAAGAGCAAAGAAUAGAUGCCAGAACAUGAUGUGGUCAGUGGAACUGGCUCUAUGGCCUUGAUGUCCAACAAAAGUUGAAUGGCCUGUUCCAUCAAAACUCUGUUGGAUUUGACACUGGAUAUGAGAGUUAUUAGAUGAAAAUCGGGGGGAGGAGAAACAAAAUCUAUUGAGUACCCCUGCCAUACAGUCUGCAGCACCCAGUAAUCGGUGGUGCUGUUCACCCUGGCCUCUGAAAACAGCAGAAGCCUGCCCCCAACUGGGAUCGGGUUAUUGCUUAUGAUUUGUCUGGGCUAAUGAGGAAGCAAAUGGUCUGCCUUACUGGUUUCUGGAAGUGCCUCUACCUCGAUUGCUCCAGGGCUGUUGCCAAGCCGGCUUGAAGGUUGUUGCUCAAUUGUUCCUGAAGUUGUCCCUGAAUUGGUUGGUCGGAGUUCGGUUGAAAGCUCUGUAAGGACAAAAGGAAGACUGGUAGGAAGUGUUUCCCCUAAAAGGCCUAUGAAACUUCCUGCGCCUAGUUGGUAUGGCCUUCUUUUUAUCUUUAGUUUCAACCAGCAUCAGCUCUAAAGCCGUUCUCUAAGAGAACGUCUUCUUCAUUAUGAGCCCCACGGCCCAUUGAGGUCGUCCGGAGAGAUCCAUCUCCAGUUGCCGCCAGCUCGGCUAGUGGCCACACGGGGACAGGCUUUCUCGGUUGCUGCCCCAAGACUGUGGAAUGCACUCCCUAUUAAGAUAUGAUCCUCCCCAUCUCUGACAAUUUUUAAAAAGCAUUUGAAAAACCACCUCUUCACCCAAGCUUUUAGAGAUCUUUAAAAUUUUAAGGUUAUAUUUGUAGGUGAUUUUAAAAUUGUUAAAUUGUGUUAAGUUUUUGUAUAUAUUUUAACUUGUUUUAUGCUAUUGUUAACCGCCCAGAGAUGAAAGUUUGGGGCAGUGUACAAAUUUGAUUAAUAAAAAUGAAUGAAUAAAUAAAGACAGACAGACUCCCCAAAUAAUCCCCCCUGGAAAGGGGUAGCAGCCAAGGUAACUUUUUAUUUGGUAUCAACAUGCCAGUUCUUCAGCCACAGCCCUCUACGCAGUGCCACUCCAGGUGCCAUAGCUUGUGAGGCAUGCUGUAUACAAUCUAGGCUUGAAUCAGUCAUGGGAGUGGCAUGUGGCAACGUCAGGAGAGAUCCUAGUUGGAGCCAUGAAGUUUGUGGUUCUUACGUCCUAUGUUCCAGGGGUUGAAGGCAAAGGCAGCAUGGCUGGUGACAGCAGGACCCCACGGGGAUCUUGCAGUAAAAUCGGACCCCAAGGGAUGUCUAAAGGCAAUGCAGCCCAUCCAGGCUCGACAAGUAAAACCAGUGCCGUGGUUAUAACUUCGCCAGCUUGCUAGCCCCCUGAAUGAAAUUUGCUUACAAAAUGGCAGCCGUUGCCAAGAUGACAGGUGAGAUUGGCUGCUGAUUGGGAUCCAAAAUGGCCGACAGAGCUUUGGCAGGCACUUUAGGAAGGAAACAAGGUGGCUGUUGCUUGCAGACUGCCCAAAUUUGUAGCCUCUCACUCAGGGGAGCUCCCCCAGAGGCACAUUUUGCCUUUUCUUUUUUGCCCCUUCCGCCUCCUUUAAAUGUUUUGUUUUUCUCACCAUUUUUUAAUGUGGCUUUUCAGAAGUGGCAGCAGGCACCGCAUGGCUUUAAGCCCCAGCCCCUUCGGUCAGAAUGCCAGGCACAUGAUCGUGCUGAAGGGAAACAAAACAGGGUCUCUUGGAGACUGAGGAGAUCGCCCUCUUGGGGUCUCUGCUCCUUGAUUCUGAAAAAGGUCCCUCAGAAAAGGAACCUUUCAGCAUAUUGCCUAAGUGGGAGGCCUGCACACUUGGAAAAAAUGGACCCAAUUUAAAGAAAUUUAAAAGAAAAUAAAAGCAGAAUUCAAUUAGUACAAAUAAUGACUCUCUUCCCACCCUUGCACACAGAAGUCAAAAGGCGGGAAAGGAAAGAACUAGUCUGAAAUUAGCCUAAAAAUAACAAGUAGAGCAGGAGCUCGAACCAAGAGCUAUCUAAUGGAGCAAGACAGGACUGGGGAUUGACUGAUAGCUACCUAAGCUAGCUACUAGCCUGCCUGAAAUUUGAUUAGUCCUGUCUUGGAGCAUGCAGAGGCUGAUAAACCUGUCAUGUUGAGGAUGACCUCCCUAUACCAUGGAAAAAAUGCCCACCCAGGCCUUAGACCCUGCCAAAUGCAAUUAGGAGAAGCUACAGUCUUAUGGUGGCUGUGUCACCAAAGGAAUUAAUCCAAGCAAUCCCACUACAUGUUCUUGUUCCACCCACUCCAUGAUGUCUGUCCCUGAGUUGUUCAGCAUGUUCAAGUCCAGCAAGCCACAGAUCACUCACCCUUCAGGCAGCCACCUCAUUCCAGCUGUAUACAAGAUGUAGAGGGGGCUCCCUUGGGCAUGUGGGCAAGAGCAAAACUGAGUGGCCUCAUGGACACAACAGCUUUGUUUGGAGUCAUGGGGGACAUCAAAGACAUUACUUCGUCUGCUCCUGAGGCUUUCCACUGGAGCCUUGCUGUUUAGUUCUCGCCCUUAGCUCUUGCACUGGAAAGGACAAUAGGGGUACUAGACUUAUAUGAUUGCCUUUGGUGUCUAUAUUGUCUGCAGUGUUCCUUCUAAUUUUUUUCACCUGUGCACGGAAUGAGUUUUCUUCUGGGUGGCAGUAUCAAGGCAUUGUGUGCGCACAUCCAUUUAGCACGCAGCCAUCCUGAUUCAACCUGAGUGGGAUCUAAAAUUAACUGAGCAGACAUUUUUAAAAAUGUGUGCGCACGCACAUUUGCAUGCCUUAGAGGGAACAAUGAUUGUCUGUAUUUAUUGGUUACAUAAGAUUGUAAGAGUUUGUAACAUUGUAGCCAAAGUUGUAAACAUUUUCACUGUGAAAUUUCUCCACUGUGAUGUCUGUUUCCUUGCUGAACAAUCCCUUCCCAUCAAAUGGGAGGUUCUCGAUCAUAUCCUUCAUGUCUGCUUGUAGAUUCGUGGACUUAAGCCACGCAUGGAGCCUUAGGGACAUAGCUGUGGCAAGUGAACAAACGAGACACUGUCUCAGCCAAAUGUUUUGCCGUGCUGAGGUGUUGUUGUUUAGUAAUGUCAACAGACUUCGCAAAGGUGUCUGAGCUUUUGUUGAAAUAUUCUGGCAGGUUCUUAACAUCUUUGUAUAAAUUAUCUCCAAUUGAAUGAUGAAAUUUAGCCAUGGAGAUCAUGUAGUUCAUUAUCUUGGCAGAGGGCAAGCAGCUGGUCAGAACCCAAUAACCCCAUAGCUAAAAUUUGGCUAUUGAGGAAUAUUAGGAAUAAAGAAUUCCAAUGUUUUUGGAGGCACUACUGGAAUAUUGAUCAGCUGUCAUUUGCUUUGCCAGUACAGUGAAUUACAACAAAAUUCGGAGUUCUGGGAUAUUAAUAUCCAUGAGUGGGGUUUUUGAUGCUCUCCUGUGAAUAUUUCCUUGGUAUAUGAGGAGGGUUUUGAGGAAAAUGAAAGUGCAUAUUUCUGAAAAUUGAAGUUUAAAAGUAGGGAUUAUGGUAGAGAAGAUGGAGGCAGCUCAAGCUUUGGUGGUAGUACACCCACCAUUAGUUACAUACCUAAAAUCUAAGGGACAUAGCCCUUGGAGGCCAGGAGCGUUCCCAGCUAAGAAGCUCUGAAAAUGUUUGAACUGGAAUUUGAUAAACUUCAUAAGGCUAAUAAAAUGCGUCCCAGCUGGGAAAAGGUGUAAGCAGCUUGCUUAAGGGGACUUUACCAAGUUGCUCAGACUGUGUCUGAGGAAGCUGACAAUUUGAAUAAAGAAUUGGCAGACAGUCAUACAAUUUUUUUUAAAAAGGGAACAGCAGGGAAAGCAUUUACAGCUAAUCAAUUCACAGCUGUCCACACAAAACCAAUCUCUUUGUUCUCAGAAUUUGAAUCUAACAGCAGAAAGGGCUGCUGAUCAUACCCAACGCAAUCAAGAAAUUUAGACACUGAAAAACAAGCUUUGUGUAACAGCAGCUAUGGUUUAGCAGUCACACCUGUUGAUUAAUUUGGGGGUAACUAAGGAUGAGAUAGACGGAAAACCUACAUCUGAACUUUUUGUACAGCUUUUGCAGUUGUUGAAAAACAACCAAACCAAAAUCAUUGGCUCUUGUAACUACCAGAAAUAAUUUCUCAGAGAACGAGAACACUUGGAGAUAGACCUCUCAGCCCUGCUGAUGCAAAUUUGAUGUUGGUUAAUGAAAACAACAGUGAUAAGCUUUUCUCCGCUUUUUAAAACUUGUUUUUAAAUUGUUUUGGCUAUUUAAUUGCUGUUUUAUGAUGUUUUAAUUGUUAAUUAUUAUUUUAUGCCAUUUUCUAAUUUCUGUUUUAAUUGUUAAUUGAUUUUAAUGGUGUUUUAAUGUAAAUCGCCCUGAGCCUUUUGGAAGGGCGGUAUAAAACUUUUAGAAAUAAAUAAAUAAAAGAUGGAUAGGAUUAUAAA
Hemicordylus capensis (graceful crag lizard) is the source of this 8463-nucleotide long non-coding RNA. RefSeq lists it as uncharacterized. The transcript is spliced from 4 exons. NCBI's taxonomy places the organism in Eukaryota, Metazoa, Chordata, Lepidosauria, Squamata, Cordylidae. The record is from RefSeq and is a predicted model, not a curated record.